RNAcentral lists this ribosomal RNA (724 nucleotides) under Bacillus pumilus. RNAcentral describes it as "bacterial SSU rRNA". It matches the Rfam family "Bacterial small subunit ribosomal RNA", at positions 41 to 747 of the family's 1533-position model. The record is from RNAcentral. Lineage: Bacteria; Bacillati; Bacillota; Bacilli; Caryophanales; Bacillaceae.
GGCGUGCUCAAUACAUGCAAGUCGAGCGGACAGAAGGGAGCUUGCUCCCGGAUGUUAGCGGCGGACGGGUGAGUAACACGUGGGUAACCUGCCUGUAAGACUGGGAUAACUCCGGGAAACCGGAGCUAAUACCGGAUAGUUCCUUGAACCGCAUGGUUCAAGGAUGAAAGACGGUUUCGGCUGUCACUUACAGAUGGACCCGCGGCGCAUUAGCUAGUUGGUGAGGUAACGGCUCACCAAGGCGACGAUGCGUAGCCGACCUGAGAGGGUGAUCGGCCACACUGGGACUGAGACACGGCCCAGACUCCUACGGGAGGCAGCAGUAGGGAAUCUUCCGCAAUGGACGAAAGUCUGACGGAGCAACGCCGCGUGAGUGAUGAAGGUUUUCGGAUCGUAAAGCUCUGUUGUUAGGGAAGAACAAGUGCAAGAGUAACUGCUUGCACCUUGACGGUACCUAACCAGAAAGCCACGGCUAACUACGUGCCAGCAGCCGCGGUAAUACGUAGGUGGCAAGCGUUGUCCGGAAUUAUUGGGCGUAAAGGGCUCGCAGGCGGUUUCUUAAGUCUGAUGUGAAAGCCCCCGGCUCAACCGGGGGAGGGUCAUUGGAAACUGGGAAACUUGAGUGCAGAAGAAGAGAGUGGAAUUCCACGUGUAGCGGUGAAAUGCGUAGAGAUGUGGAGGAACACCAGUGGCGAAGGCGACUCUCUGGUCUGUAACUGACGCC